Molecule: long non-coding RNA, 431 nt
Organism: Mobula hypostoma (lesser devil ray)
Lineage: Eukaryota; Metazoa; Chordata; Chondrichthyes; Myliobatiformes; Myliobatidae
Exons: 3
Source: RefSeq, a predicted model, not a curated record
CCAAGCUAGAUUGGGGCGUCAGAGCCAAGGGAAAAGGACAACUGGUGUUCACCUCAGUACUCAGUAAGGCUUACUUACGUCAGCGCUGAACUGGUUUCAUGUCUGUGGACUCACUUUCAGUCAUUUCUGGAGCAAUCAAGGUGGCAGUGGUUGGUAUUGGUUGAACAUGGCAGCCCCAGAUCUUUCCUUCAAGAGAUUCUCAGACAUCAAGAUUCUUGUUCUCCCUAAUGACAAGAAUACAAUGGCAAUUCAACAACCUUCCAUUUAAAUGCAAAUCUCUGUAUGAAUGAAGUUCAAGACUGCCACUGAGAAAAAUAAUCCAUUCUGAAGCAAAUUGAGAAUUUACCACAGGAACCAUGAAAGUAUUUUUGAUGUUAAGAACAGUGCAACAAAUUUACUUGCAUACUUUGAAAUUAAAUUUCAAUAAUUUA